This is a long non-coding RNA of Acanthochromis polyacanthus (spiny chromis), 1014 nucleotides long. RefSeq lists it as uncharacterized. The transcript is spliced from 5 exons. NCBI's taxonomy places the organism in Eukaryota, Metazoa, Chordata, Actinopteri, Pomacentridae. The record is from RefSeq and is a predicted model, not a curated record.
CAGACAGACAGACAGGUGUUACCAUGGUGACCAGCGUCCUGCAGGUAAACAUGCUGCAGGUGAUGCUCACAAAACUCUGCUAAAAGGCUCGAAAAAACUUUUGCCAGAAAUGUUGGAUAUCAAUAAAAGUUAAAUAUGAGCAAAGCAGCAGAAAAAUGUUGAGAAAAUAUCUUUACAAAAUUUAAAAACUAAACGCUAGAAACACGUCAGAAACAUAACGUCCAAAAUUGGUUUGAAAAUGUAAAAUAUCUGAAAAAAUAUUUUUAAAAAAUGUAACAAAAAAAAAUUAACAUAUGACGUCCAGAGAAAACAUCAAAACACGUAUGAAGAAAGUCAGAAACUAUUUAUGAAAUGUAAGAAAACCUCAAAUAAACAGUAAUAAAACAUAAAAAUAUAUGUAAUAUGAAAUAAUACACAGAAAACAUUUUAGUACAUCAGAAAAAUUUAUAAAAAAUGAAUGAAAUUCAGUUAUUUUAAUUAAACAUCAGAGUUUUAACUAAAUACCUCAAAAAAUCUGUCCUACAGGUGGCGCUGUGUUUGGACGUCCUACAGGUGGCGCUGUGUUUGGACGUUCUACAGGUAAACGUCCUACAGGUGGCGCUGUGUUUGGACGUUCUACAGGUAAACGUCCUACAGGUGGCGCUGUGUUUGGACGUUCUACAGGUAAACGUCCUACAGGUGGCGCUGUGUUUGGACGUUCUGCAGGUGGCGCUGUGUUUGGACGUUCUGCAGGUGGCGCUGUGUUUGGACGUUCUGCAGGUGGCGCUGUGUUUGGACGUUCUACAGGUGGCGCUGUGUUUGGACGUUCUACAGGUAAACGUCCUACAGGUGGCGCUGCGUUUGGACAUUCUACAGGUAAACGUCCUACAGGUGGCGCUGCGUUUGGACAUUCUACAGGUAAACGUCCUACAGGUGGCGCUGUGUUUGGACAUUCUACAGGUAAACGUCCUACAGGUGGCGCUGCGUUUGGACAUUCUACAGGUAAACGUCCUACAGGUGGCGCUGCGUUUGGAC